GAGCAAGAGAGACAGAGAUCUGAUUUUGCAGAGCAAAAGUAUCACUGCAAAGUUGGGAAAUUCCAUUUGCUGUUAGCUGAAGGCUCUCUCUCAUUAUAAAGGAAUAAUUUUUCUGGGCACUGCGGCUCAAAUGCUUGAACUCCUUCCCUUGCAAGGUUGUGUGCUUUCUGAUCACAAAGGGAUGACGCUCCUAAGCACAGGGACCUCUGGCUACAUCAGAAGGAAGCACAGCAACAGCAUUUCCCAGAAGGGCAUGGACAAAAUGAUUGAACUGCAGAGCAGUAAAACACCACUACUGAAGAAACAGCAAGCAGAGCUUGAGGUGUCCAUGUCAAAGGUUUCCUCAGAGGACUCUGGUGAACCCAGCUCUUCCAGGACACCCGUAAUGUAAGAGAAGAAAACUUCAUCCAUCCCACUGGAGAAAGAGAACACCACACAACGUACCUGAAAAAAAAUGUGAGCUUUCUUCCAUCCUUCUCAGACCUUAAAAAAACCAAUGGUAAGAUUCUGAAUUUCAGUGAUGGCAAGAAUACUGUCCUAUGCGCAUGGGUUUUUUUCCAAAUUGGAAGCUGCAUCUGCAAGUGCUGGCAAUGACCAAGCCCCCUAAACUUACUCUUGAACAAGUCCAAGAAAAGUAACCUUCCUUUCACAGAAAUAAGAGAUGGAAGAUCAACAUAUAGCAAUAAAAAUGUU
Non-coding RNA from Phasianus colchicus (ring-necked pheasant), 693 nucleotides. Lineage: Eukaryota; Metazoa; Chordata; Aves; Galliformes; Phasianidae. The record is from RefSeq and is a predicted model, not a curated record.